GGGGAGGGGCCGGGAGCUGCGCACGGCGGCGGCGGCGGUGGUGGUGGCGGCAGCCCCUUGGCAGCGGCCCGGCCGGCCCCGCCAUGGCCCUGCGGGCGCUGUGGCUCCUCAGGCACGACCCCGGGGCCGGCGGUGCCGUGCUCUUCUCCAGACGUUACCCCACCGUUGAAAUACGCGCCGAGACCUUCAAUGGGUCAACACAUGUGCCUGUACCGUCUGACAGCGCUUUUCUUAAAGCCUUGCUUUUUGAACUGAGACUCAUAGAUGACCAUAUUUUUGUGGAGCAUCGAGAUACUUGUACUCGCAUCAAUCAUUCAUCGGUAUAUUCAGUUCGCACCGAAGGAGGGGAUCUCUGGCCCGUGCUUGCUUUUCAGAAGAGUGGUCUGAUAUAUGCAUGUCUUCCACUAGUUGAGGAGACCCUGGAGCCACGGCCACCCCUCCUCACCGUUAGUGGGCUCUCGCAAGGACUGGCUCUUUUGUUAGGCAUUGUGGACUACAUCUCUCCAAGUCGGAAAAACGAAGCUGAGAUGAAUGCGAAAAUAGGCCAGCUUCGAAAUUUGCUUAUACAGGCCUGUCCACUUGGCACCCCCUUAAACACAAACAUACGCAGCUUAAACAGCUCGUUUGAUGACAUUCAGGAAAUGCCUACAGAUGAGAAUCAACCAGCUUGGAGAUCCAACACAUAUAAAGGCAAACCUCAGGUUAAUGUCUGUAUCACUGAAAAAGUCAAGUGUAUGCAGUAUGACAAAAGAGAUGUUAUGGACACGUGGCAAGUUUAUGGAGCUGUUAACUGCAAGUGUGACAUAGAGGGAUCUGCACCAAACGUAACCCUCACUUUGAAUCUCCCGACUAAUGGUCCUCCGCUCCAAGAUAUCGUGGUCCAUCAUUGUGUGACUUCCGUUGACCCUGCCAUGCUGAUGUCCAGUAGUGCCGAGCCACUGGAUGAUUCUGUGUAUAACGGACCUUACAAAUUUCCUUUCAUUCCUCCUUCAGUUUCAUUCAACUUGUGUUACUACACUUCCCAGGUUCCUGUCCCACCAAUUUUGGGAUGUUAUCAACUCAUUGAAGAGGGAUCACAGUUAAAAAUAACAGUCAAUUUAAAGCUCCAUGAGAGCGUGAAGAAUUCUUUUGAGUACUGUGAAGCUCAUAUACCUUUCUUCAACAGGGGCCCGAUCACUCAAUUAGAGUACAAAGUUAGUUAUGGCCAACUGGAUCUGUCACGAGAGAAGAGCCUACUGGUUUGGGUCAUCGAUGCUUUUUCUGGCUUUAGGACAGAAGUUCCCUAAAUCUUUGGAAGUUUCUCUGACUGGAAACGUGUCUUUUGGCACCGCAGGCAAAGAGCACCCAACUGAUUAUGUUUGCUCUGGGAACACUGCUUAUGUAAAACUGUGUUUUAGGAUCCCAGACUUUACACUUACUGGAUGUUACGUAGACCAGCAUUCUAUUCAGAUCUUUGUACCAGGAAAACCCAAAAUUACUGCAUCCCGGGAACUGAUUUCUUCCAAUUACUACAUCUGGAAUUCCAAAGCACCAGCACCCAUGGUGUACAAAACCUUAUUUGACUGAUUUGCUUGUGAAUGAUUUUUGUAUUUAAACAAAACAGACAGCUAAUGAGAGUAAUGUCAUGAUACAGUGACAAUAAAUAUUCUCUAGCACUUGUA
RNA transcript from Harpia harpyja (harpy eagle), 1661 nucleotides. It is a transcript of the gene named adaptor related protein complex 5 subunit mu 1, with no coding region annotated. NCBI's taxonomy places the organism in Eukaryota, Metazoa, Chordata, Aves, Accipitriformes, Accipitridae. The record is from RefSeq and is a predicted model, not a curated record. The transcript is spliced from 8 exons.